GGCUGGGUAGCUCAGUGGAUUGAGAGCCAAGCCUAGAGCUGGGAGGUCCUAGGUUCGAAUCCAGCCUCAGCCA
This 73-nucleotide transfer RNA is filed under the name Monodelphis domestica (gray short-tailed opossum). It matches the Rfam family "tRNA". From Rfam's summary of the family: Transfer RNA (tRNA) molecules are approximately 80 nucleotides in length. Their secondary structure includes four short double-helical elements and three loops (D, anti-codon, and T loops). Further hydrogen bonds mediate the characteristic L-shaped molecular structure. tRNAs have two regions of fundamental functional importance: the anti-codon, which is responsible for specific mRNA codon recognition, and the 3' end, to which the tRNAs corresponding amino acid is attached (by aminoacyl-tRNA synthetases). tRNAs cope with the degeneracy of the genetic code in two manners: having more than one tRNA (with a specific anti-codon) for a particular amino acid; and 'wobble' base-pairing, i.e. permitting non-standard base-pairing at the 3rd anti-codon position. The record is from Rfam by way of RNAcentral. Lineage: Eukaryota; Metazoa; Chordata; Mammalia; Didelphimorphia; Didelphidae.